CGUGGGUAACCUGCCCAAGAGAUCGGGAUAACACCUGGAAACAGAUGCUAGUACCGGAUAACAACAGAUGAUGCCUAUCAACUGUUUAAAAGAUGGUUCUGCUAUCACUCUUGGAUGGACCUGCGGUGCAUUAGCUAGUUGGUAGGGUAACGGCCUACCAAGGCGAUGAUGCAUAGCCGAGUUGAGAGACUGAUCGGCCACAUUGGGACUGAGACACGGCCCAAACUCCUACGGGAGGCAGCAGCC
Molecule: ribosomal RNA, 246 nt
Filed under: uncultured Lactobacillus sp.
Lineage: Bacteria; Bacillati; Bacillota; Bacilli; Lactobacillales; Lactobacillaceae
Description: partial 16S ribosomal RNA
Rfam family: Bacterial small subunit ribosomal RNA
Source: RNAcentral